ACGGAAGGCAGCAGUGGGGAAUAUUGCACAAUGGGCGAAAGCCUGAUGCAGCGACGCCGCGUGAGUGAAGAAGUAUCUCGGUAUGUAAAGCUCUAUCAGCAGGGAAGAAAAUGACGGUACCUGACUAAGAAGCCCCGGCUAACUACGUGCCAGCAGCCGCGGUAAUACGUAGGGGGCAAGCGUUAUCCGGAUUUACUGGGUGUAAAGGGGGCGUAGACGGUUUGGCAAGUCUGAAGUGAAAUGCGGGGGCUCAACUCCUGAACUGCUUUGGAAACUGUCGAACUAGAGUGCAGGAGAGGUAAGUGGAAUUCCUAGUGUAGCGGUGAAAUGCGUAGAUAUUAGGAGGAACACCAGUGGCGAAGGCGGCUUACUGGACUGUAACUGACGUUGAGGCUCGAAAGCGUGGGGAGCAAACAGGAUUAGAUACCCUGGUA
Molecule: ribosomal RNA, 434 nt
Filed under: uncultured Lachnospiraceae bacterium
Lineage: Bacteria; Bacillati; Bacillota; Clostridia; Lachnospirales; Lachnospiraceae
Description: bacterial SSU rRNA
Rfam family: Bacterial small subunit ribosomal RNA
Source: RNAcentral